AUCAACCAGGAAUACAACAGAAAAUCACACAGAGCUCUGCAUCAGAGAGAAGUAAAUACAGAUUGCCAAUGUAUUUCAAACCCAUUCUGAGACUCCCGCUUCAAACUCUGCAAAGGAAGGGAGCUGAAUGAAAGGAGAAAAUGUGAAGCAAGUAUCUUUUUCAGUCAGCUCCCACAACUGUUUUAGCUUCAUUUUCAUCUCUUCCAGUCUUGAAUCCUUUUCCAUAACUUCCCACUGAAGCCGAGUAAUUUCAGCACGGAGAAAGCAAUCUUGUUUUGUAUGAAUAUGGUGGUGGAUAUGGUUUUUGAGAUCUCUCUCUCUGGCAAAUCCAUUUCCUGAGCUUCGAUCACAGUCUGAAUAAGGACACAUCCACUUCUUCCCUUUUUGAUGAAUCUCUUCUACAUGACGGCGCACGUGAUAUUUCCGGGUAAACGAUUGGUUGCAACCGGGGAUCAUGCACCUAUAUGGGUGGUCAUGUUUAUCCAUAUGUUUGCUGUUCAUGUACUUAACACAUAGUUCAAGAAAUGGGAAUUGUAUUCAAAAAAGGGGCUGCAUACCUCCAGUCACUGCGUCUCUUGAAGUAUGGGAUAUGAU
RNAcentral lists this small RNA (594 nucleotides) under Histoplasma capsulatum. Its description in RNAcentral is "hypothetical RNA". RNAcentral also lists the same sequence under 1 other name. Lineage: Eukaryota; Fungi; Ascomycota; Eurotiomycetes; Onygenales; Ajellomycetaceae. The record is from RNAcentral.